This 3200-nucleotide long non-coding RNA is filed under the name Olea europaea subsp. europaea. The record is from RNAcentral. Lineage: Eukaryota; Viridiplantae; Streptophyta; Magnoliopsida; Lamiales; Oleaceae.
CAAACAUCUCGCCAUUUCCAUCAAGGUCCUAUUCUUUUUUUCACACACUCCAUUUUGCUGAGGUGUGUAUGGAAUGGUCAGUUGAUAUUUGAUUCUAGCAGCCUUAAAGAAUUUAUCAAACUGAUCACACUUGUAGUCAAUUCCAUUAUCUAAUCUAAUGGCUUUAAUUCUGGAAUUGUACUCAUUUUCAACAUACUUUUAAACUUCUGGAACACACCAGCAACCUCAAACUUCAAUUUCAAGAAAUACACCCAACACAUCUUUAUUAAAUCAUUAAUGAAGAGUACAAAAUACCUACUGUCAUUCAGUGUUUGAGUUCUCAUAGGGCCGCAUACAUCAGAGUGGAUUAACACCAGUAUUUAUGUGGCUCUUCUUGACUGGUUUUUUUCAAAUGGCAGCCUGGUUUGUUUUCCUUGUUGACACACAUCACACACACAAGCUUCAUCACACAUAUCAGGCAUGUUUUCAGCAAGUUCAAGCUUGUGCAAAUGCUUAAGUGAUGUGUAAUUUGUAUGACCAAACCUUCUAUACAAAAGUGAGGACUCAUCAACAGUGCUUGAGAAUGCAUGAGUGAUCACAUUUUUCCAUUCUAAAGGGAAGCUUCUUUGCUUCAUCUCCACAGUCAUCAAUUCAUGGUUAUUUGAAUCUAAUAUAGUACAGCCAUUGCCUUUGAAAAUCAAUGUGUAUUUCUUCUCAAUUAAUUGGCCUACACUAAUUAAAUUCUUGUCUAUAUCAAGCACAUAGAGAACAUCAUAAAUAAGUUUAGUACCUGAUGGAGUUUGUACUGAAACCACACCAAUUCCUUUCAAUUCCACAUGUUCUCCAUUACCAACCUUGACCUUUGAUCUAUAAGCUUUAUUCAAUCCAACAAAAAUGUUGGGAUUUGAAGUCAUGUGGUGGGUACAUCCACUGUCCAGCAACGAACCUCCAAUAUUGCUGCACAUUUUGUAAUUUACAAAGUAAACAGAUGCUCUUCUUGCUUAUCUGGUUACUUAUUUUCAGCAACUUGUGCCUGUUGCUGACUCUAUUUCUCCUUCUGAUUUUUACAAAAUUUUUGAAUAUGUCCAAAUUAUUUGUAACCUCUACAUUGCACUCCUGGACUAUACCAGCACCAUUUUGGAGAAUGGCCAAUUUUCUUAAAAUGUGGAUAGGGAGGGUAGGCACAACUUUUAUCAACAACCUUGCUACCUUCAACCCUUUUCUUAUCUUGUUUGUGUUCUUCACACCAUAGCCGAUUUGUACCUUAUUUUUCCUUUAACAAACAAGUCACCUUCUACCUGAUCUUUUUGCUUCAUUAGCCUCCUUUGCUCAGUGGCUUGCAAAGCAUUAACUAACUCUAAUAAGGUUAUGGAGGACCGAUCUUUAGAGUUUUCAAGAGAUGAGAUUUUUGUCUCAAAAUUUUUUUGGCAAGCUGAUCAGCACCUUCUCCACAACACUCCUAUCAAGUAAGUCAUCUCCUAACAACCUUAUCUAGUUCACCACAUUUAUCAACCUGUCUGAGUAUUCUUUGACAGAUUCUGUGUCUUUCAUCUUCAAGGAUUCAUACUCCCUUCUUAAGUUCAAAACUAGCAUCUGAAGCAUUCUGGAUAAUAUAGCAUUAGAAACAGCAGAUUGUAUGCAAGACAAGGCCUUGAAUUUUUUUGUAACCUCCUCACUAUGUUGCUUCAAUUGAGCAAUUGUAGGAUUUGCCCUUAAAGUUGGUGGUUCAACACUUGAUUCUGUGAUCUCCCACAUAUCAUAAGCUUUUAGGUAUGCCUUCAUCUUUGCUACCUAGAAAUCAUAAUUUUCUCAUGUAAAAAUAGAAGGUAAAGGUGUUGAGAAGCCACUCGAAGCCAUCCUACUUAGAUUUAUUUUUCUCAUAUAUUUAUUUUUCUUGACUGAUAUGAUAAAGGGAUUUUGGUAGGAGUUUCCUCACUUGUCUUCUCUUUUUUCCUGUCUCACAAGCUUGCCUUUCCUUCAAAGAUCUUAUAAGCUCUGAUACCACUGAAUGAAUUUUAUCACAAAGAGGAAGAAAAAGAUAAAAACUUAAAAAAAAAUGAGCUACAAUCUUCAUUAUAAUCGGCUGCUAAUACAUAUAAGAUAAAAAAGGAUUACAACCAUGCUGUUGACUACCAACUACAACCAUACUUUCGACAGAUUAAUACCAUGCUUUGAUAGACAAUUUGAUAAUAAAAAUAAACAUUACAUAGACUUAAUUUUUAUACUUAAAGUCAUAAUACAAAAGGUGACAGCAAAAGUGGUAACAAAUAUCAAUAUAUUUUUCCUCCUUAAUUGUGUGUGCCCAUGGUUACAUGUUUCGCUUUGGAAUGUUGAAAGAUCAUUUGUGUGGUACUUGAAGAUUUAGCACCGACUGAGACCUUUUUCUUCCUCGACUGUUUAUACUAUGAAACUCAUCAAAGUUCUGCUCUUCCUCCAUCAACGGGGUGCAUAGCAAAUUACAUAUAUUAUAUGAUAUUUUCAUUCAUUUUGCAUUGAUGCUCAUUAUACUUGAGGAUAUUAAGAUUAGGUUUGCUUUUAUUCGUAUAUGCACAAUUGAGUGGGAUUAUCAUGUUCCGCUGUGUACUACCUCAGGACUAUUUUUUAUUUUUUUAAAUCUGGACACUUAGUUUAUGGGUGUUUAUUAAUUAUAGCAGGUUACGUUUGAUUUAGAGCAUGUUACACAUAUUGUACUUCCUUUGUAGUCCAUUGUGUAUUGGAGGUUGCUUCCGAUUAUCAUGUCAAGAAUCAAUUUGAGUAUUAUUGUCAAUAAAUUUCUCUGUUUUCUCUAAGAUGUAAUGUUUGUUGGUUUGUACUUUGAGCAAACUGUCUGCAUUUAAUAAUCUCCAAGGAUAGGAAGUCAUCAUAUAUUUCAUAUUUAUACCACAAUAAUUACAUAAUAAAACAUAGCUAUUAGUAAGACUUUACGGUUUGUUUUCCUUUUUUGCAGCUGUUGACUUUUUUAAUCAACUGAACUUUCUUUGUGCCAUCUCUCACUAAAUUUUGCACAGAAGCAAACUGUCCAAUAACGUCGGCAAGGCCUAAAUAUGUUUCCAAUUCCUCUUUGUAGUCCCUUCAUUCAUUUUUCAGAUAAUGGCAUAUGAUCAAUGAUUUAGGCAUUUAACCUCUCUCAACAUAAUUUUCAUGUCAUGAUAAAUAUGAACUUAUUGUUAAGGUGUAUAUAUAUAUAGCAUGUAUUAACUUUAUAAAGGCACUUCUUGCCG